This is a long non-coding RNA of Liolophura sinensis, 175 nucleotides long. RefSeq lists it as uncharacterized. The record is from RefSeq and is a predicted model, not a curated record. Lineage: Eukaryota; Metazoa; Mollusca; Polyplacophora; Chitonida; Chitonidae. The transcript has 3 exons.
GGUUGGCUACAUUGCGAUUUCUAAAAUAUGGCAAAAACAGCUACGGUUCUCGAUCAAGGACCUUUAGCACCAUCUGGUCGAUGGAUUUGGAGAGAUGAAUCCAACUGUCUGGAGCUAGUAAGGUGGGGAAAAACAAGAAAAAAAGAAGAGGAAUAAAGGGUACAGAUGCUGGAAA